Molecule: transfer RNA, 71 nt
Filed under: Murexia naso (Long-nosed dasyure)
Lineage: Eukaryota; Metazoa; Chordata; Mammalia; Dasyuromorphia; Dasyuridae
Description: Phascomurexia naso (Long-nosed dasyure) tRNA-Gln
Rfam family: tRNA
About the family: Transfer RNA (tRNA) molecules are approximately 80 nucleotides in length. Their secondary structure includes four short double-helical elements and three loops (D, anti-codon, and T loops).
Source: RNAcentral
UAGGAUGUGGUGUAGUGGAAGCACAGAGGGUUUUGAGUCCUUUAGUGCAGGUUCGAGUCCUGUUGUCCUAG